RNAcentral lists this long non-coding RNA (366 nucleotides) under Ananas comosus (pineapple). RNAcentral describes it as "long non-coding RNA (ACOM_LNC009451)". The record is from RNAcentral. Lineage: Eukaryota; Viridiplantae; Streptophyta; Magnoliopsida; Poales; Bromeliaceae.
ACUCUUGCUCUUCUCUCCCUUCUUCCUCUUCCCAAAUAGGGAUGUCAAUGGAUAAAGAUAUCCGAAACUUUUUUCGAAUCCGAACCUAAAUCUGAAUAGGGCAGAUUUAUCCGAUGCUAAACGGAUAUAGUUUCGAAUACAGAUACAAAAAAUAAAAAACACUGCAGAUUUGAAUUUGAGUAUGGAUUUUAUCUUUGCGCCCGACACAAAACCGAAUUGAUUUUAGUUUUAUAGAAUAUAAUAUGAAUAUUUGAUAUUCUAUUUAAAUUUAUAUUUUAACUAAUAUUUUUGAUUUAAUAUAAUAUGUUUUGAAAUAUAGUACAUAAAAAUAGUUAUUCGGGUUCGGAUUUGGAACGUUCUUGAUUU